UUUUUAGGCUUACACAUUAAAAUAACAUAUAAAUAUCAUACAUAAUUAGAGCCUUCGGAUUUAAGUGAAAUUAAUAUUUAAAAAAACGAUAAUUGUAGGCUAUUUUAGGUAUUUUAUAUGCAUCUUGGUAUAACACAAACCUUUUUUUUUUUUUUUUUUUUUUGGUUUUUAUACAUUUUAUAAUUUUCAUAAAAUUAUGGUAUAAAAUGAACUGAAUUAGAAAUCAGGAAUUAGAAAUGUAUUUUUAAAGUUGUUAACCCUACAAGUGAGAAUAUUCGGCAUCAUCAUCAUUUGCAUACUGAAUUGUAAUUGGUCUUUAUCACAGCUCUUGUUUACAAGCUUCUUCCUCGCUCUUUGUUUGUAUACAGCUAUUCAAACUUCCAUUUUAACAUAAAGACUGCAGUUUGUCUGCAUUGCAAAAACUGGUAUUCCAAUCAGGAAAUACAAAACUAGCCUUUGGCUGAGAGUCACUCCCUAAACUUCACUAUAAACUCGGGACUCCACCCUGAUUUAGAUACGACAGGUGUGUGCACAGUUUUUUGUAGGAGACUCAAAAAUGAAUGCGACUGAAUUUCAGCUGUCUCUGGCUGAGUAUGAUUUCGAGCGUCACUUUGAUGAGAGGUUCGCCAUCGAGUGGAUGCAGGGCAACUGG
Long non-coding RNA from Cyprinus carpio (common carp), 652 nucleotides. RefSeq lists it as uncharacterized. The record is from RefSeq and is a predicted model, not a curated record. NCBI's taxonomy places the organism in Eukaryota, Metazoa, Chordata, Actinopteri, Cypriniformes, Cyprinidae. The transcript has 2 exons.